This 475-nucleotide ribosomal RNA is filed under the name uncultured organism. RNAcentral's name for it is "partial 16S ribosomal RNA". It matches the Rfam family "Bacterial small subunit ribosomal RNA", at positions 331 to 797 of the family's 1533-position model. The record is from RNAcentral.
GUACACUCCUGCGGGAGGCAGCAGUGGGGAAUUUUGGACAAUGGGCGAAAGCCUGAUCCAGCAAUGCCGCGUGUGUGAAGAAGGCCUUCGGGUUGUAAAGCACUUUUGUCCGGAAAGAAAUCCUUGGCUCUAAUACAGUCGGGGGAUGACGGUACCGGAAGAAUAAGCACCGGCUAACUACGUGCCAGCAGCCGCGGUAAUACGUAGGGUGCGAGCGUUAAUCGGAAUUACUGGGCGUAAAGCGUGCGCAGGCGGUUUGCUAAGACCGAUGUGAAAUCCCCGGGCUCAACCUGGGAACUGCAUUGGUGACUGGCAGGCUAGAGUAUGGCAGAGGGGGGUAGAAUUCCACGUGUAGCAGUGAAAUGCGUAGAGAUGUGGAGGAAUACCGAUGGCGAAGGCAGCCCCCUGGGCCAAUACUGACGCUCAUGCACGAAAGCGUGGGGAGCAAACAGGAUUAGAUACCCGUGUAGUCCCA